GAUGAAGGAACGUAGCGAAAUGCGAUAAGUAAUGUGAAUUGCAGAAUUCAGUGAAUCAUCGAAUCUUUGAACGCACCUUGCGCUCCUUGGUAUUCCGAGGAGCAUGCCUGUUUGAGUGUCAUGAAAUUCUCAACCUUUCUGGCUUUUGCUAGUCAGGCUUGGAUUAUGGGAGCUGCUGGCUUUUGAAGUCGGCUCUUCUAAAAUGUAUUAGCAAGAUCAUUGCUGCUCAUCAUUGGUAUGAUAAUUAUCUAUAUCAUUGAGAGUCAGUUUCCUUUAUUGGAAGAUUUUGCUCCUAACGGUCUUUAGCAAGACAACAUUUGACGAUUUUGACCUCAAAUCAGGUAGGACUACCCGCUGAACUUAAGCAUAUCAAUAAGCGGAGGA
RNAcentral lists this unclassified non-coding RNA (384 nucleotides) under soil metagenome. Its description in RNAcentral is "partial contains 5.8S ribosomal RNA, internal transcribed spacer 2, and large subunit ribosomal RNA". The stretch from base 1 to 121 matches the Rfam family "5.8S ribosomal RNA", at positions 35 to 154 of the family's 154-position model. The record is from RNAcentral.